Molecule: ribosomal RNA, 249 nt
Filed under: uncultured euryarchaeote
Lineage: Archaea; Methanobacteriati; Methanobacteriota
Description: partial 16S ribosomal RNA
Rfam family: Archaeal small subunit ribosomal RNA
Source: RNAcentral
GGCGGCUCGAGUGGUGGCCACUAUUACUGGGCUUAAAGCGUUCGUAGCUGGUUUGUUAAGUCUCUGGGGAAAUCUUCCGGCUUAACCGGAAGGCGUCUCAGGGAUACUGGCAGACUAGGGACCGGGAGAGGUGAGGGGUACUCCAGGGGUAGGAGUGAAAUCCUGUAAUCCUUGGGGGACCACCUGUGGCGAAGGCGCCUCACCAGAACGGCUCCGACAGUGAGGGACGAAAGCUGGGGGAGCAAACCG